Molecule: long non-coding RNA, 651 nt
Filed under: Arabidopsis lyrata
Lineage: Eukaryota; Viridiplantae; Streptophyta; Magnoliopsida; Brassicales; Brassicaceae
Description: long non-coding RNA (ALYR_LNC003328)
Source: RNAcentral
CCUCACUUGUUAAUUAAGAGUAUUCGGAAGAAAAACCUUGGGAUACCUUGGAUGGCGGGACGGUGGAACCUUGGCCAAACUUGCAAAGACCGUCGGAAUCGCCGGGCCGGGAAUGUCAACUAAUGGACGUGAACCGGUAUAAGGACCCAAACCUAGGCGGAUCUCGCCCUAGAUCCGUUUGUUGAAGCUGUGUGAGAAAACCUGAGAAUUAGGUCGCCCAAACCGAAUCACCACCACACCGACAGUGGGUGGCUUAGAGCCAUCGCGGUUAGGGCCAGGGAGAACUCUGGCAAAUAAGAAAUAAGAACCUGCAAUAAAAACCAAGCAACCAAACCCUAGAUCUGAAAAGAGAGAAAUCUGAGAAGGAAACGAAAAACGAAACCAAUCCCCAGAUCUCUCCACACACAAACCCAGAACUAGUUAACUAAACAAAAGCUGAAAAGCCAACCGACGCCGUGGCCAUGGUGGCCCACACGCGCCGGUCGGAGACACAAAACCAGCGGCGAGUUUGUUGAAGAGAGAAGGGUGUUGUUGUACUCUUAAUAUCCAAAAUUUAUGUGAUUUUGACCCGACGUAUGAUGUGCUUUAGUCCAAAACUUUUCAAACAAAAACCAAAAAAGAUAAAAUUAUAGAAUGACUUUUUCUAGAACC